This 1904-nucleotide ribosomal RNA is filed under the name Hevea brasiliensis (rubber tree). RNAcentral's name for it is "SSU rRNA". It matches the Rfam family "Eukaryotic small subunit ribosomal RNA". Lineage: Eukaryota; Viridiplantae; Streptophyta; Magnoliopsida; Malpighiales; Euphorbiaceae. The record is from RNAcentral.
UUUGAAUCGCUGGGCCAGUAGUCAUAUUGCUUGUCUCAAAAUUAAGACCAUGCAUGUGCUAAGUAUAACUAAUUCAGACUGUGAAACUGCGAAAUGGCUCAUUAAAGUCAGUUAUAGUUUGUUGUGAUGGUAUCUGCUACUCGCUCCGCGAUAAGCGUAGUAUCUAGAGACUAAAUACGUGCAACAAACCCCCGAUUCUGGCAAGGGAAUGCAUUUAUAGAAAAAGGGUCGACGCGGGCUCUGCCCUCUGCUCUGAUGAUAUCAUGAUAACCUCGACGGAGCUCGCACGGCCACGUGACCGGCGACGCAUCAUUCAACAUUUCUGCCUACCAACUUUCGAUGGUAGGAUAGAGGCCUACCACUGGGUGGUGACGGGUGCACCGGAGAAUUAAGGUUCGAUUCCGGAGAGGGAGCCCUGAGAAACGGCUACCCCACAAUCCAAGGAAGUAGGCCAGCAGGCGCGCAAAUUACAAUCCUGACACGAGGAGGUAGUGACAAUAAAUAACAAUACACCGGGCUCCUUCGAGUCUCGGGUAAAUUGGAAAUAGUACAAUCUACAAUCCCUUAACGAGGAUCAUGGAGGGCCAAGUCUGGGUGCCAGCCAGCCGCGGGUGAGACCAUUUCCAGCUCCAAACCUAGGCGUAUAUUUAAGUUGUUGCAAGUUAAAAAGCUCGUUAGUUGGAACCUUGGUUGGGGUCGACCGGGUCCGCCUCGGCAGGUGCCCCGUGCACCUGGGUCGGCUCUCCUUCGCCGGCCCGAUGCGCUCCUGGCCUUAACUGGCACGGGUCGUGGCUCCCGCGCCUGUUAUUCUAGCCAAGAAAUGUAAGAGGUGUCCCUCACACAGCAAGCCUCACGCUCUGGAUCACACAGCAUGGGUAUAACAUCAUAAGGAUUUUCGUCCUAUUGUGUUGGCCUUCGGGAUCGAGUAAUGAUGUUAACAAGGGACAGUCGGGGGCAUUCGUAUUCAUAGUCAGAAGGUGAAAUCUUGGAUUUAUGAAAGACAGAAACAACUGCGAAAGCAUUUGCCAAGGAUUGUUUUUCAUUAAUGCAAGAAACAGAAAGUUGGGGGCUUCGAAGACGAUCAAGAUACCGUCCUAGUCUCAACCCAUAAACGAUGCCGACCAAGGGAUCGGCGGAUGUUGCUUUUAGGACUCGCCGGCACCUAUGGAGAAAUCAAAGUCCUUGGGUUCCGGGGGGAGUAUGAGUCGGCAAGGUGAAACUUAAGGAAUUGACGGAAGGGCACCACCAGGAGUGGAGCCUGGCGGCUUAAUUGAACUCCAACACGGGGAAACUUACCAGGUCUCAGACAUAGUAAGGAUUACAGACUGAGAGCUCUUCCUUGAUUCUAUGGGUGGUGGUGCCCAUGGCCGUUCUUAGUUGGUGGAGCGAUGUCUGGCUUAAUUCCGUUACGAACGAGACCUCUAGCCUGCUAACUAGCUUAUGCGGAGGUGACUCCGCGGCAGCUUCUUAGAGGGACAUGGCCUUUUUUAGGCCAAGGAAGUUGAGCAAUAACAGGUCUGUGAUGCCCUUAGAAUGUUCUGGGCCAGCACGCGCCGCUAACACUGAUGUAUUCAACCGAGUCUAUAGCCUUGGCCGAACAGGCCCCCGGUAAUCUUUGAAAUUUCCAUCGUUUGAUGGGCGGGAUAGAUCAUUGCAAUUGUUGGUCUUCAACGAGGAAUUCUAGUAAGCGCGAGUCAUCAGCGUUCGCGUUGACUAACGUCCCUGCCCUUGUACACACCGCCCGUCGCUCCUAACCGAUUGAAUGGUCCGGUGAAGUGUUCGCGAUUCGCGGCGACGAUUGGGCGGUUUCGCCGGCCGGCGAGACGUUCGGCAAGUCCACUGAACCUUAUCAUUUAGAGGAAGGAGAAGUCGUAACAAGGUUUCCGUAGGUGAACCUGCGGAAG